RNAcentral lists this microRNA precursor (111 nucleotides) under Caenorhabditis remanei. RNAcentral describes it as "microRNA crm-mir-90 precursor". Its record names the gene crm-mir-90. The stretch from base 12 to 94 matches the Rfam family "mir-90 microRNA precursor family". Lineage: Eukaryota; Metazoa; Nematoda; Chromadorea; Rhabditida; Rhabditidae. The record is from miRBase by way of RNAcentral.
UGUUUGGGCCUCACUUCGAGCGGUAUUCAACGACUAUCUCAACCGAUAUACAUACCAACCGAGUUGAUAUGUUGUUUGAAUGCCCCUUGAACUCGAGGCCCCUAGUAAACA